Molecule: ribosomal RNA, 253 nt
Filed under: uncultured bacterium
Lineage: Bacteria
Description: partial 16S ribosomal RNA
Rfam family: Bacterial small subunit ribosomal RNA
Source: RNAcentral
UACAUAGGGGGCAAGCGUUAUCCGGAAUUAUUGGGUGUAAAGGGUGCGUAGACGGAGAAACAAGUUGGUUGUGAAAUCCCUCGGCUCAACCGAGGAACUGCAACCAAAACUAUUACCCUUGAGUGUCGGAGAGGAAAGUGGAAUUCCUAGUGUAGCGGUGAAAUGCGUAGAUAUUAGGAGGAACACCAGUGGCGAAGGCGACUUUCUGGACGAUAACUGACGUUGGGGCACGAAAGUGUGGGGAGCAAACAGG